This 402-nucleotide ribosomal RNA is filed under the name Verrucomicrobiota bacterium. RNAcentral's name for it is "Verrucomicrobia bacterium partial 16S ribosomal RNA". It matches the Rfam family "Bacterial small subunit ribosomal RNA", at positions 355 to 776 of the family's 1533-position model. The record is from RNAcentral. Lineage: Bacteria; Pseudomonadati; Verrucomicrobiota.
UGGGGAAUUUUGCACAAUGGGGGAAACCCUUAUGCAGCGACGCCGCGUGAUUUAGAAGGCCUUCGGGUUGUAAAAAUCUUUUGUAUGGGAAGAAAAUGACAGUACCAUACGAAUAAGGACCGGCUAAUUACGUGCCAGCAGCCGCGGUAAUACGUAAGGUCCGAGCGUUGUCCGGAAUCAUUGGGCGUAAAGGGUACGUAGGCGGAUAAGCAAGUUAGAAGUGAAAUCCUAUAGCGCAACUAUAGUAAGCUUUUAAAACUGCUCAUCUUGAGGUAUGGAAGGGAAAGUGGAAUUCCUAGUGUAGCGGUGAAAUGCGCAGAUAUUAGGAGGAAUACCGGUGGCGGAGGCGACUUUCUGGCCAUAUACUGACGCUGAGGUACGAAAGCGUGGGUAGCAAACAGG